RNAcentral lists this ribosomal RNA (450 nucleotides) under uncultured bacterium. RNAcentral describes it as "partial 16S ribosomal RNA". It matches the Rfam family "Bacterial small subunit ribosomal RNA", at positions 354 to 796 of the family's 1533-position model. The record is from RNAcentral.
GUGGGGAAUUUUGGACAAUGGGCGCAAGCCUGAUCCAGCAAUGCCGCGUGCAGGAAGAAGGCCUUCGGGUUGUAAACUGCUUUUGUACGGAACGAAACGGUCCUGGUUAAUACCCGGGGCUAAUGACGGUACCGUAAGAAUAAGCACCGGCUAACUACGUGCCAGCAGCCGCGGUAAUACGUAGGGUGCAAGCGUUAAUCGGAAUUACUGGGCGUAAAGCGUGCGCAGGCGGUGCUGUAAGACAGGCGUGAAAUCCCCGGGCUUAACCUGGGAAUUGCGCUUGUGACUGCAAGGCUGGAGUGCGGCAGAGGGGGAUGGAAUUCCGCGUGUAGCAGUGAAAUGCGUAGAUAUGCGGAGGAACACCGAUGGCGAAGGCAAUCCCCUGGGCCUGCACUGACGCUCAUGCACGAAAGCGUGGGGAGCAAACAGGAUUAGAUACCCGUGUAGUCC